RNAcentral lists this ribosomal RNA (1157 nucleotides) under Triticum aestivum (bread wheat). Its description in RNAcentral is "partial small subunit ribosomal RNA". Lineage: Eukaryota; Viridiplantae; Streptophyta; Magnoliopsida; Poales; Poaceae. The record is from RNAcentral.
GUUUUCUUUUCCUCUGUUCUUCUUCCUCCCUUCAGCGCAUCGCCUGCAGCACACACUAGCACCACAAACCAGCACGGCGGAUGAUGCGACGAGCGAGGGAGUUGUAAUGGAGCUUCGGCGGGGGCGUCGCCGCUGUUAUGGAACUUUGCCUCGCUGCGCGGUGCUGGCCAUGGAGCUGCAAUGGAGCCUCGUCGGGCGUCCGUCGGCGCUGCAAUGGAGCGCUCGCCGGCGCUACAAUGGAGCUCUCCCAGCGGUCUCACAACUGCUCACAGGCGCUGCAAUGGAGCGCUUGCCUACGCUGCAGUGGAGCUCUCACCGGCGGUCAUGGAGCUGCAAUGGAGCGCUCACCGGCGGUCUCACUACUGCUCGCUGGCGCUCCGGCGCUGCAAUGGAGCGCUUCAUCAGAGGCCUGGACACUGCUCGCUGGCGCUGCAACGAAGCAUCGCCGGUGUUGUGUUGUAGCAUUGCCGAGCCGCCGGAGCAUCGCCGGAGCUGCAAUGAAGCUUCGCCGGAGGUGCCGCGCAUGCAUGUCCUCUGUGCUGCACUGGAGCGCUGCCGCAGCUGCACUGGAGCGUCGCCGGAGCUGCAAUGAAGCUUCGCCGGAGGUGCCGCGCACGCAUGUCCUCUGUGCUGCAUUGGAGCGCUGCCGGGGCUGCAAUGAAGCUUCGGGAGGUGGCACUCGGUGUUGCCUUGGAGCGCUUGCCGGCGGCUCCGGUGCCGGGGGAGGUCGCAGGCGAAGGUGCCACGGCGGAGGUGCUGCGUUGCUCUGCAUCAUCGACGGUUUUCAGAGGAAGCGUGUCUAAUACUCUGUAUUAGUGAAGGAAGGAUCAGACGGCUCUAAUCAAAUCCUGGGCGGACAAUCGGAUGGCUGUUUAGGCGGCUGAUCUUUUUGCAAAGAUCAGCCGGUUGACGCCUAACACCCGCCAAAGUUAAAUACCUUUUGAAACUUCCGAUGUUCAAACUAAUAAUGCACAUUGAUUUUAGGGGUUCAUUGGGUUCUACUGUAAAUGCAACAUAUCUCAAGUACAGGUUGCUUUAUAAUGAUACACAUUAAUUUCUCCAUAUAUACUACAUUUACAAUAUAUUUUCAGUCUAGCCAGUACUUGGCAGGGAAAGUUUUUCUUGUGUUUUUGGCAAUCAAGCAAUUUCCUUUCGAU